GUUGGCUAGGGAUGGCUUCAGGCAAGGUGGCGGUGGACUGAAGAAAUAUUAGAGAGAGGUGAUUAUACAUGACAUGGAGCAGCUUUUGAUCAUCUAGGACAUGACUCUAGAUAGAAAGGUGUGGAGGAGGCGGAUUAGGGUAGAAGGAUAGUAGAUAGGAUGUGUCAUUGUUAGUAGCUAUGUUGCUCAGACUCUUCAAAAAUGUCGACGGGUGCAUGUCGGAUCCUCCAAAAAUAGUGUAUUUUUGAAGGAUCCAACACGGGUGUGGCACCAUUUUUGGAGAGUCCGAGCAACUUAGGUUAAUAGUAGGAGGACUUUGUUUUGUUAUUCGUGCUUGUAGCUAUAGUAUUAGUAUUACUUCAAAGUGUGUCAUUAUUUGUUGUAUUACUUGGUGAGGCUUGUUUAUGUUAUUAUUGGGUGUAGUUAUUCAUAUUGCUUCUUGUCCUUUUACUAUUUCUUUUCUAGAUUGUUGUAUCUUGAGCCGGGGGUCUACCGGAAAUAGUUUCUCUACCUCACAUCUGAGGCAGUGGUAUGGACUGCGUACACUUACCCUCCCCAGACCUCACUUGGUAGGAAUAUACUGGGUAUGUUGUUGUUUUACUGUACGCCUCUCAUAUUAAGUACUCGUUCAUGUGGAAUGCAGUACACCUCUCAUAUUGAAGUCCUCGUUCAUGUGGUGUUAGCAAUUUCUCUAACAUGAUGUCUCAUUCUGGGUUUUAGCAGCAAGUCUAUCCUCUGUAAGAAAAUUCUAAUGUUGUUAAAUGAUUUGCAGUACACGGUAAAAAAUUUGCAGUUUGCAUUAACAGUUGAACCUGGCAAUGCCAAAAUUGCACAAAAGUUGGCAUGGGCUGAGCAUCAGAGAAGAGUAGGCCAUCCAACUAUUCCAUCAACCAUUCAGGAAGAAUUUGAGAGUAACCCAUUCAUGCGGGUUGAUCUUCCAGAGGUUCAGGUAAACAUUAGUUCUUUAAUACCUUUUUAUUGCAUGGUGGAAGGGAAGAAAUACUUCUGAUAAAUUAGCUUAGAGUCAGGACAACAAAGAGUAUGAUUUAGUGGUUAAUGUAGCGGGACAAACCACAGGAGACUGGGUCUCAACAGGGAAAAAAUUUCCAGGUGCUGCUUUUCUCCAUGUGCCACAAAGCCUUUAUUAACAGGGAUUUUUUGCUUGAUAAACAGGAGAAAGUGGGGUGCAAGUCUCCUGUUGAAGCCUUGCGUGAAAUCAGGCUGCGAAAGGAUAAUUGGAAGGGCUGAACGAUAUCAUGAGUCCAAGUAUAAUGUAAUUAAUGGUUCAUGUUUGUGCAUCUAAUAAGGUGGAACUGUCAACCGACAAGUUAAAUUAAACGUGUUGGAAGUGUGCAUUUUCAAUGUUUUGUCUUCAGCAUCAUAAUUCUGACAUUUACUUGGAAUUUCAGCAGGCCUCUUCCUUUCCCUAUACUACUCCACCAAUCUUCUCACCAGGUGGAUUGCCUUUGUCGUCGAGCGACCAGGCAUAAAACCAAAUUGAUUCUCCGAAAUGGACAAUGCAAGCAGGAGGAGCUAUUCUCUUUAAAAAAAAUGUAUUAUUAUACUGAUGGAUGGUCAAAAUAGUUUUCUUUUAACAUUUCCAUCUCUUUGGCUUGUAGUUUAUUGCUGGUUGCGGCAAGUUUUUUGAAGGCACUGCAGAACAAAUGUAUCAAUCACUGUGUGUGACACUAGGUUCUUUGCCAAAGCCAACUCGGGUAUAUUGUGGUCAUGAGGUAAUGUAUUCAUGCUCUUGUAAUUUUCUUAAAGAAAAGAAUUAUCCCGUCUCAUCAUAUAGUUUCUCAGAUCUGCUUCUAGAUUUUGUGCAUCAACAGUUGACUCUCUAAUGUGCCACAUUUGUACAACUUUCAGUAGGACCACUAGAGAAAGUUUAAUACACUUGAUAACAGAGUAAAAAAAGUGAGCAGAAUAUGUGGUUAAAUUGCCUUUUCUUUGUCCAUUAGUCAAGGACUAGAGUAACUUUAGCCUCCCCAGUUCUAGUUUAUCUUUAUAUCACAGAAACAAUUUCUCGUUUUUAUUGAUCAAAAGAAUUUCUCCUUUAAUUUUCCUCCUCUUUAGAGUUCAUGUACCAGGUAUGAAGGUUUAUUUGCAUUCAGUAUUAUGAACACUUUAGUUGAAAAGAACGACAAAUAAAAAUUUAAAUAUUUUCCACCUCGCAUGUACUUGCUCACAUGCAAAAAGCUCUCUCUAAAUGUGCAUACAGUAUAUCACAUGUAUUUGACCUGGGCAAGUAUUCUAAGAUUUUUCUUGUGAAAAGAUGUCAUCAACUGUACGACACUGCUGCAUUUCAAAUGUGCAGUACUUUUGAUUCCAAUACUGAUAAGGUUGCAUAUGUAUGAUGCUCCUGGUGUCUGCUCUACAUCAGAAUUGUUCUGUCUUUAGAUUUUUGAAUCUAUUUCUUCCAGUGAGAUCAGUUGAACUUCAGGAAGACUUAAACCCCUCCCCUUCUCCCCCCCUCCCUCCCUCCCCCACCCCAAAAAAAAAAGGAAAAAGGAGAAAUAUUAUCUCUUAGCCGCUCCGGCUUAUUCUCCAUCAUCCCCUCUCUAAUUAUUCUGCCUCUCCCAUCAGUACAAAUUCAUUGUGAUGUCAGAGGCGAAUCUUACAAUAAACCCUUGAGGUUCAGCCCUUUCUCGAACCCUGCACAUAGCAGGAGCUUUAGUGCACCGGACUGCCUUUUUUUUCUUAGUUAGAGGCGAAUCGAGGAUUUCAAGAUGACGGGUGCACCAUCGCUUUUUAACAUAAGAUAUAAACUUAUAUGAUAAUGACUUGGUGAACAAACGAUAAAUUAAUUACAUUAUCACAAAAAAUAUCAUCAGUUUACGUGUCUUUUGGCUAUUGUCUGCAUAUUCUGCUUUAGAUUUUUUAAAACGGGAAAGGGUCAAAAUUACCCUUGAGCUAUUUGAUUUGGACCACAUAUACCCUGUAUUUCAUUUUGGCAGCAAAAUUGUCCCUGCGGUUAGCACAAGGGACCACAAAUGCCCUCUUAUUUAACAAUCAUUAUUUUCUAUUGACAUGGCACCCCAUGUGGCAAUCCAACUAGGAUAUACCACUACACCUUGGCAAUAAAAAUCCUCUAGGAUGUCCAACUAGGAUCCAUCCUCUACAACCCCAAUCCAGAGUUCCAAAGUUGGGGUUUCCAUUGCAUACCCUUCUUGUCACCUAUAUCCUCUAAUGCUUCAAUUGCAGUGGGUCCUUCCAGCUAAAUUAACAUUGCAGCCUUACCUAGGUCACAAAUGCAAUUAGCUGUAAUAUCGGUAAGGACCUUAUUAGCUGGUUCAUUGAAACCUUCAAAUCCAAUAUUUUCACAUUGGGAUUCUCCAUAUUUAGUCUCUUUAAGUGGUGGUUUCAUAGUUAUAAGAAUUAUGUUGAUAUUAAUAAUGUGGAAAUUUAUCUAUGAGACAAAAAAGGAGGUGAAAAGAAGUUGAAUAAAUCAAGUACUACAAUAUUUUAAACUUGAGUGGUUACUUGUACAAGAACACAGAAAAAUGGCAUUCUACAACAUUUGCCACACUUCGUCUUCCAAUACCAUCAAAGCAUUACACUCCCAUUUCUGAAUUUCAGUUCGCAAUGAAAACCCAUCUCUCACAUUCCCCAAAUUUGGUGCUCUGAAUUGGGGGUGUAGAGGAUGGAUCCUAGUUGGACAUCCUAGUGGAUUUUUAUUGCCAAGGUGGAGUGGUAUAUCCUAGUUGGAUUGCCUCAUGGGGUGCCAUGUCAUUAGAAAACAAUGGUUGUUAAAUAGGAGGGCAUUUGUGGCUCCUCGUGCUAACGGAAGGGAUAGUUUUGCUACCAAAAUGAAACAGAGGGUAUAUAUGGUCCAAAUCAAGUAGUUCGAGAGUAAUUUUGACCUUUUUCCGUUUUUUAAAAAACGAAAGGGGCAGCUUUAUAAGGAAGCUUGCUUUAGAAAAAAAAUUAGAAGAUGAACAAAUGACAGUAAGUGGAAUUUGAUCCCUCGACUUGAAGGAGUUAAUACGGACUCUCAACCAGUGCACCACUUAAUUUCUUUUUAUCAUGGGUUCCUUCAGAUAAUAUGAAAUAUGUUAUUUUUGAUAACCCAUAUGAAAUACUCCCUUCGUUUCGGAAUAAGUGAAUUGUUGGGGUUUUUAUUGGUAUUUCAAAAUAAGUGAAUCAUUAAUUUUUUUUUUCCAAAUUUAUCCUUAUGAUUUGACAACCAAUUAACUUUUGAAAAGGUAUUACAAGGUUAGUUUUUCUUUUUUUUGGGGUAAAAAUGAAAAGUUAUGUUAAAUUUAUGUCUUUAAUGCUUUUUCCUUAAUCCGUGUGCCAAAAUUCAACAAUUCAUUUAUUAUGAAAUGGAGGGAGUAUGUUUUAAGAAGUAUACAAAUAAUAUAGAGAGUUUAGUCAGGUGACCACAGGUCCACAGGGGUUCAUAUGACCGUUCUUUACACCAAAAUUUGCCACUGGUGAUAGUGGUCUCUCCGUCACAUACUUCAACUAAAUGUAACUCCUAAGAAGGUGAUUUGAACAUACAUACAUAAAUGUUAUCCAUCAUGGAAACUAAACUUCUUGUGCACAAAUAAUUUUUGAAUGCAUUACUGUACGCCUAUGUCUCAUUAGGCUGAUGUGGUUGUAAAGCUUGAUACUCAAGCCAUCCAGAAGAGAGAUAGUUUCAAGUAUCUUGGGUCUAUGAUUCAAGGUAAUAGAGAGAGUGGCGAGGAUGUCACUCACCGGAUUGGGGUAGGGUGGAUGAAAUAGAGGCUCGUGUCUGGAAUCUUGUGUCACAAGAAGGUGCCUCCUAAAAUCUAAGGCAAGUUCUGCAAAGUGGUGGUUAGACCGACUAUGUUGUAUGUGGCGGAGUGUUGGCCAAUCAAGAAAUCUCACAUCCAAAAGAUUUAGGUGGUGGAGAUUAGAAUGCUAUGGUGGAUAUGUGGGUGUAUAAGGAAGGAUAUGAUUAGAAAUGGGGUUAUUUGAGAUAAGGUGGGAGUAUCGUCGGUUGAAGCCAAGACGUGGGAAGUGAGGUUAAGAUGGUUUGGGCAUGUGAUAAGGAGGGGCAUGGAUGCCCCAAUGUAAAGGUGUGAGAGACUGAGAGGUUGGCUAGGGAUGGCUUCAGGCAAGGUGGCGUUUGAAAAGGUAUUACAAGGUUAGUUUUUCUUUUUUUUGGGGUAAAAAUGAAAAGUUAUGUUAAAUUUAUGUCUUUAAUGCUUUUUCCUUAAUCCGUGUGCCAAAAUUCAACAAUUCAUUUAUUAUGAAAUGGAGGGAGUAUGUUUUAAGAAGUAUACAAAUAAUAUAGAGAGUUUAGUCAGGUGACCACAGGUCCACAGGGGUUCAUAUGACCGUUCUUUACACCAAAAUUUGCCACUGGUGAUAGUGGUCUCUCCGUCACAUACUUCAACUAAAUGUAACUCCUAAGAAGGUGAUUUGAACAUACAUACAUAAAUGUUAUCCAUCAUGGAAACUAAACUUCUUGUGCACAAAUAAUUUUUGAAUGCAUUACUGUACGCCUAUGUCUCAUUAGGCUGAUGUGGUUGUAAAGCUUGAUACUCAAGCCAUCCAGAAGAGAGAUAGUUUCAAGUAUCUUGGGUCUAUGAUUCAAGGUAAUAGAGAGAGUGGCGAGGAUGUCACUCACCGGAUUGGGGUAGGGUGGAUGAAAUAGAGGCUCGUGUCUGGAAUCUUGUGUCACAAGAAGGUGCCUCCUAAAAUCUAAGGCAAGUUCUGCAAAGUGGUGGUUAGACCGACUAUGUUGUAUGUGGCGGAGUGUUGGCCAAUCAAGAAAUCUCACAUCCAAAAGAUUUAGGUGGUGGAGAUUAGAAUGCUAUGGUGGAUAUGUGGGUGUAUAAGGAAGGAUAUGAUUAGAAAUGGGGUUAUUUGAGAUAAGGUGGGAGUAUCGUCGGUUGAAGCCAAGACGUGGGAAGUGAGGUUAAGAUGGUUUGGGCAUGUGAUAAGGAGGGGCAUGGAUGCCCCAAUGUAGAGGUGUGAGAGACUGAGAGGUUGGCUAGGGAUGGCUUCAGGCAAGGUGGCGGUGGACUGAAGAAAUAUUAGAGAGAGGUGAUUAUACAUGACAUGGAGCAGCUUUUGAUCAUCUAGGACAUGACUCUAGAUAGAAAGGUGUGGAGGAGGCGGAUUAGGGUAGAAGGAUAGUAGAUAGGAUGUGUCAUUGUUAGUAGCUAUGUUGCUCAGACUCUUCAAAAAUGUCGACGGGUGCAUGUCGGAUCCUCCAAAAAUAGUGUAUUUUUGAAGGAUCCAACACGGGUGUGGCACCAUUUUUGGAGAGUCCGAGCAACUUAGGUUAAUAGUAGGAGGACUUUGUUUUGUUAUUCGUGCUUGUAGCUAUAGUAUUAGUAUUACUUCAAAGUGUGUCAUUAUUUGUUGUAUUACUUGGUGAGGCUUGUUUAUGUUAUUAUUGGGUGUAGUUAUUCAUAUUGCUUCUUGUCCUUUUACUAUUUCUUUUCUAGAUUGUUGUAUCUUGAGCCGGGGGUCUACCGGAAAUAGUUUCUCUACCUCACAUCUGAGGCAGUGGUAUGGACUGCGUACACUUACCCUCCCCAGACCUCACUUGGUAGGAAUAUACUGGGUAUGUUGUUGUUUUACUGUACGCCUCUCAUAUUAAGUACUCGUUCAUGUGGAAUGCAGUACACCUCUCAUAUUGAAGUCCUCGUUCAUGUGGUGUUAGCAAUUUCUCUAACAUGAUGUCUCAUUCUGGGUUUUAGCAGCAAGUCUAUCCUCUGUAAGAAAAUUCUAAUGUUGUUAAAUGAUUUGCAGUACACGGUAAAAAAUUUGCAGUUUGCAUUAACAGUUGAACCUGGCAAUGCCAAAAUUGCACAAAAGUUGGCAUGGGCUGAGCAUCAGAGAAGAGUAGGCCAUCCAACUAUUCCAUCAACCAUUCAGGAAGAAUUUGAGAGUAACCCAUUCAUGCGGGUUGAUCUU
Molecule: long non-coding RNA, 6897 nt
Filed under: Capsicum annuum
Lineage: Eukaryota; Viridiplantae; Streptophyta; Magnoliopsida; Solanales; Solanaceae
Description: long non-coding RNA (CANN_LNC010023)
Source: RNAcentral